AACGCGAAGAACCUUACCUGGGCUCGAAAUGUUGUGGACCGUGGUGGAAACAUCACUUCCCCGCAAGGGGCUGCAAUAUAGGUGCUGCAUGGCUGUCGUCAGCUCGUGUCGUGAGAUGUUGGGUUAAGUCCCGCAACGAGCGCAACCCUUACCCCCAGUUGCCAUCAUUAAGUUGGGCACUCUGGUGGAACCGCCUCGGAUAACGGGGAGGAAGGUGGGGAUGACGUCAAGUCCUCAUGGCCUUUAUGUCCAGGGCUACACACGUGCUACAAUGGCCGGUACAAACCGUCGCAAACCCGCGAGGGGGAGCUAAUCGGAAAAAGCCGGCCUCAGUUCGGAUCGCAGUCUGCAACUCGACUGCGUGAAGCUGGAAUCGCUAGUAAUCGCGGAUCAGAAUGCCGCGGUGAAUACGUUCCCGGGCCUUGUA
Molecule: ribosomal RNA, 427 nt
Filed under: uncultured Acidobacterium sp.
Lineage: Bacteria; Pseudomonadati; Acidobacteriota; Terriglobia; Terriglobales; Acidobacteriaceae
Description: bacterial SSU rRNA
Rfam family: Bacterial small subunit ribosomal RNA
Source: RNAcentral